Molecule: non-coding RNA, 1191 nt
Organism: Camelina sativa (false flax)
Lineage: Eukaryota; Viridiplantae; Streptophyta; Magnoliopsida; Brassicales; Brassicaceae
Source: RefSeq, a predicted model, not a curated record
UAUUAAUAUCCUUUUUCUUAAUCUCUCUUGUGUGGUAAAAGUUAUCGCAGAAACGUGGACAACACAAUUUUUCCUGCCUUGUGGAUCAUCAUCCCAAACCCAGUUGGAGAGGUUGGUUACAUGUCCUCCUAAAGUUUGGAUAAACUGAGUUUGGAAUGUUUCUUGAAGGUGUGUGUGGAGCCUGGAAGGAGCUGAAUGGCUACCAACUCUCGUGUUAGCUAAAUCGUUCCAAAAAGUAAAUGUAUCAGUCCUAUCUCCCUCAAUCCAGCUUCUCUCUUUCUCCUCCAUGCUGAUACGAGACCUAUGGGAGUUUGGUAAAACCAAGACUAUUGUUGGCCAUGGAAGAUACACAUAUCAGAAGGACCCGAGUGAUAUUUCCAUGGAUGUUUGAUGAGAGUCAUGCCUUGAAGCCAUUCAAAGCUGACGCUGAUCUCGUGGCCAAGGAAGAUGAUUGACCUCCAUUAUAUGAUAGUUGCUACAUUGAAAACUAACAAGGUGCUUGUUGGCCAUGUAAGAUACUGAAGGACCGAAGUGAAGAUCUCAGAUGUUUGCUCUGUUGAUUGGUGGACUCGAGGAGGCUGCUUGCGGUGCCAAACUCAAAGAUUGUAUUGUUACAGGAGGCGUCCUUCAAUAUUGGCGAAUCUGCAGAGAAUGGUGAUACUGAUUCAGGAUGCUAACACAAAGGCGACAACAAAUUAUCAGACUUCUAAUUUUGGAUAGAAAGCAAAAUCAUCAAGUCAUCGAAAUUGACUAUCGCAAGCAAGGUUUCCUAUUCCCAAUUACCGGCCAGAUUUGGAUGACAAGCGACCACAACAAUGGGAGGCACAACUUAUACUUGUAGUUUAAUGAAUAUGUAACGCAUCUCAUCGUGCAGGUGGUACUUCCUUUGAGUUUGCAAAAAAGGGUUCCUGCAGGAACACCUUGAUAGACAACAGCUAAGCUCAGAGAAGGCUAAUGAAGGUGUAGCUGAUUCUCAACCUCCUAAACAGAUUGAAGAACUUCCGGAUGAAAGGUUUGAUGCGUUUAUUGAUGGUUCUCUUAUGGAGAAUGUACUUAAGAGGAGAAGUAUGCGCAUGCGCAAUAUGCUGAGAGCCUGGCAGGAAUCCCCUGAGGGAAGGACGGUGCUGGAAUUCCGGAGAUCUUUACUAAGGACAAAGAAAGACUUCUUCAAGCUAUUGCUCAGAACCAGGC